ACGGUCAAAUCACGAAAACACCGGUUCUCGUUCGAUCACCGAAGUUAAGCAUCGUAGAGCCAGGUCAAAGAUGGGGGACCGCUUGGGAACACCUGGUACUGUA
RNAcentral lists this ribosomal RNA (103 nucleotides) under Acanthosepion pharaonis. Lineage: Eukaryota; Metazoa; Mollusca; Cephalopoda; Sepiida; Sepiidae. The record is from RNAcentral.